AUUGAACGCUGGCGGCGUGCCUAACACAUGCAAGUCGAGCGGUAACAGGUGUAGCAAUACAUGCUGACGAGCGGCGGACGGGUGAGUAACGCUUGGGAAUCUGCCUGUUAGUGGGGGACAACCCGGGGAAACUCGGGCUAAUACCGCAUACGCACUACGGUGGAAAGCCGGGGACCGCAAGGCCUGGCGCUAACAGAUGAGCCCAAGUCGGAUUAGCUAGUUGGUAGGGUAACGGCCACCAAGGCGACGAUCCGUAACUGGUCUGAGAGGACGACCAGUCACACCGGAACUGAGACACGGUCCGGACUCCUACGGGAGGCAGCAGUGGGGAAUAGUUGGACAAUGGGCGAAAGCCUGAUCCAGCGACGCCGCGUGGGUGAAGAAGGCCUGCGGGUUGUAAAGCCC
This 405-nucleotide ribosomal RNA is filed under the name uncultured bacterium. Its description in RNAcentral is "bacterial SSU rRNA". It matches the Rfam family "Bacterial small subunit ribosomal RNA", at positions 29 to 433 of the family's 1533-position model. The record is from RNAcentral.